GUGGGGAUUGAACUCGGAACCACUCGUUUAUGAAGCGAGCGCUCUACCACUACACCACUGCCGCAUUUAUUUAUAUUUAUUAUAGUAUUUGUGAAUCAGGUGCUAUAUAUGUGACUUUUUUAAUUCAGGUACUAUGCAUGUAAGAUUUUUCUUUUAAAGUUCUGUUUUGAUAUUUUUUAUAAACUUUUUAAUUAGAUAACGUUUAAUACAAAAGUUGCAUUCAUAUCUAAAAACAGGUAACGUGACACCAGGUUUUUAAACAGGUGAGUUUUAUCGCAUUUAUUUCAAUUUUAUUUUAUUAAUGAUUGUUUUAUUUAACUAAUUUUUGUUUCGUAAAUACCUAAUAUUUACCAUUCAAAUUUAAAUAUUUUUUGUAAAUAAAACAUUAAAUCAUCGGAUUUAGUUGAUGAACCUAUUGAACCUCGGAUUUAGUUGAUGAACCUAUUGUCUACUGUUGAAACAUGAUUUGAUUCAGUAAAUUUUUAUUAUUUGAAUUUUACUGUAUUAAUCAUUAGUCAACAGUUAGCGAGAAACUGGUGCUCUACGUAAUUGAGAUUAAUUGAUGAACAUUUCAAUCGUCACCGAAAAUUGAAUUUUCCUGUUUGUUGCAGGCUUGUUUUCCUUUAAUUAGGAGUAUGGUAGACUUAAAGAAGCAGUUCAUAUCUAAACGACACAAACUGUCAAAAGCAAGAGAAA
This is a long non-coding RNA of Hydra vulgaris (swiftwater hydra), 696 nucleotides long. RefSeq lists it as uncharacterized. NCBI's taxonomy places the organism in Eukaryota, Metazoa, Cnidaria, Hydrozoa, Anthoathecata, Hydridae. The record is from RefSeq and is a predicted model, not a curated record.